This 5228-nucleotide long non-coding RNA is filed under the name Ananas comosus (pineapple). RNAcentral describes it as "long non-coding RNA (ACOM_LNC039817)". The record is from RNAcentral. Lineage: Eukaryota; Viridiplantae; Streptophyta; Magnoliopsida; Poales; Bromeliaceae.
AUCGAUGUCAACGUUCACAAGAACCAAAACCGGAACAACAUUAGACUACUCAGUUGCGCCCUAACAGUAUAACUUUGCAACGAGUACUUUUUCUCAUUCUAUCGAACAAAGAGUAAAACCUAAUUAUAUUGUUCUAUUAUACCCCGAGAGUGUAAAUUUUUAACUUAUCGAGGUCAACGUUCACAAGAACCAAAGCCCAACCAACAUUAGACUACUCAGUUGCGCCCUAACAGCAUAACUUUGCAAUAAGUACUUUUUCUCCUCCAACCGAAUAAAGAGAAAAACCUAAUUAUAUUGUUCUAUUUUACCCUGAGAGAGUAAAUUUGCAACGUAUCAAUGUCAACGUUCACAAAAAUCAAAACCGGACCAACAUUAGACUACUCAGUUGCGCCCUAACAGCAUAACUUUGCAAUAAGUACUUUUUCUCCUCCAACCGAAUAAAGAGAAAAACCUAAUUAUAUUGUUCUAUUUUACCCUGAGAGAGUAAAUUUGCAACGUAUCAAUGUCAACGUUCACAAAAAUCAAAACCGGACCAACAUUAGACUACUCAGUUGCGCCCUUACAAUAUAACUUAAUUAUAUUGUUCUAUUAGACUUUUUCUCAUUCAAUUGAACAAAGAGUAAAACCUAAUUAUAUUGUUCUAUUAUGCCCCGAGAGUAUAAAUUUGCAGUGUAUCGAUGUCAACGUUCACACGAACCAAAAUGGUACAAACAUUAGACUACUAGUUGUGCCCUAACAGUAUAACUUUGCAACGAGUACUUUUUCUCAUUCAACCGAACAAACAGUAAAACCUGAUUAUAUUGUUCUAUUAUGCCCCGAGAGUAUAAAUUUGCAACGUAUCGAUGUCAACGUUCACAAGAACCAAAAUCGGAACAACAUUAGACUACUCAGUUACGCCAUAACAGUAUAACUUUGCAAACAGUACUUUUUCUCAUUCAAUCGAACAAAGAGUAAAACCAACUUAUAUUAUUCUAUUAUACCCCGAGCAUGUAAAUUUGCAACUUAUCGAUGUCAACGUUCACAAGAACGAAAACCGGAAGAACAUUAGACUACUCAGUUGCGCCCUAACAACAUAACUUUGCAAACAGUGCUUUUUCUCAUUCAAUCGAACAAAGAGUACAACCUAAUUAUAUUGUUCUAUUAUCGCCCGAGAGUGUAAGUUUGCAACGUAUCGAUGUCAACGUUCAUAAGAAUCAAAACCGGAAAAAUAUUAGACAACUCAGUUGCUCCCUAAUACUAUAACUUUACAAAGAGUACUUUUUCUCAUUCAACCGAACAAAGAGUAAAACCUAAUUAUAUUGUUCUAUUAUGGCCCGAGAGUGUAAAUUUACAAGGUAUCGAUGUCAACGUUCAAAAAAACCAAAACCGGACAAAAAUUAGACUACUCAGUUGCUCCCUAACAGUAUAACUUUACAACGAGUACUUUUUCUUCUUCAACCGAACAAAGAGUAAAAUCUAAUUAUAUUAUUCUAUUAUGACCCGAAAGUGUAAAUUUGCAACGUAUCGAUGUCAACAUUCACAAGAAACGAAACCGAAAAAAUUUUAGACUACUCAGUUGCUCCCUAACAUUAUAACUUUGCAACGAGUACUUUUUCGCAUUCAAUCAAAAAAAGAGUAAAACCUAAUUAUAUUGUUCUAUUAUGCCCCGAUAGUGUUAAUAUGCAAUGUAUCGAUGUCAACGUUCACAAGAACCAAAACCAGAACAACAUUAGACUUCUCUAUUACGCCCUAACAGCUUAACUUUGCAAACAGUACUUUUUCUCAUUCAAUCGAACAAAGAGUAAAACCAAAUUAUAUUAUUCUAUUAUGCCCCUAGAAUGUAAAUUUGCAACGUAUCGAUGUCAACGUUCACAGAAACCAAAACGGGAAGAACAUUAGACUACACAAUUGCGCCCUAACAGCAUAAUUUUGCAAUGAGUACUUUUUCUCCUUCAACCGAACAAAGAAUAAAAGCUAAUUAUAUUGUUCUAUUAUGCCCCGAGAGUGUAAAUUUACAAUGUAUCGAUGCAAACGUUCACAAAAACCAAAACCGGAACAACAUUAGACUACUCAGUUGCACCCUAACAAUAGAACUUUGCAAACAGAGCUUUUUCUCAUUCAAUCGAACAAAGAGUAAAAUCCAAUUAUAUUAUUCUAUUAUACCCCGGGAGUGUAAAUUUGGAACGAAUCGAUGUCAACGUUCACAAAACCCAAAACCGGAACAACAUUAGACUACUCAGUUGCGCCCUAACAGUAGAACUUUGCAAACAGAGCUUUUUCUCAUUCAAUCGAACAAAGAGUAAAAUCCAAUUAUAUUAUUCUAUUAUACCCCGGGAGUGUAAAUUUGCAACUUAUCGAUGUCAACGUUCAGAAGAACCAAAACCGGACCUACAUUAUAAUACUCAGUUGCUCCCUAACAGUAUAACUUUGCAAUGAGUACGUUUUCUCAUUCAAUCGAACAAAGAGUAAAACAUAAUUAGAUUGUUCUAUUACGCCCCGAGAGCGUACAUUUGCAACGAUUUGAUGUCAACGUUCACGUAAACCAAAACCAGACCAACAGUAGCCAUCUUAGUUGCGCCCUAACAGUAUAACUUUGCAACGAGUACUUUUUCUCAUUCUAUCGAAUAAAGAGUAAAACCGAAUUAUAUUGUUCUAUUAUGCCCCGAGAGCAUAUAUUUGCAACGUAUCGAUGUCAACGUUCACACGAACCAAAAUCGGACCAAUAUUAGACUACUCAGUUGCGCCCUAACAGUAUAACUUUGCAACGAGUACUUUUUCUCAUUCAACCGAACAAAGAGUAAAACCUAAUUAUAUUGUUCUAUUAUGCCCCGAGAGUGUAAAUUUGCAACGUAUUAAUAUCAACGUUCACAAUAACCAAAACCGAACAAACAUUAGACUACUCAGUUGCGCCCUAACAGUAUAACUUUGCAACGAGUACUUUUUCUCAUUCAAGCGAACAAAGAGUAAAACCUAAUUAUAUUGUUCUAUUAAGCCCCGAGAGUUUAAAUUUGCAACCUAUCGAGGCCAACGUUCACAAGAACCAAAUCGGACCAAUAUUAGACUACUCAGUGGCGCUCUAACAGUAUAACUUGGCAACGAGUAUUUUUUCUCAUUCAACCGAAUGAAGAGUAAAACCUAAUUAUAUUAUUCUAUUAUGCCCCGAGAGUGUGAAUUUGCAACGUAUCGAUGUCAACGUUCACAAGAACCAAAACCGGACCAAUAUUGGACUACUCAGUUGCGCCCUAACAGCAUAACUUGGCAACGAGUACUUUUUCUCAUUCAAUCGAAUAGAGAGUAAAACCUAAUUAUAUUAUUCUAUUAUGCCCCGAGAGUGUGAAUUUGCAACGUAUCGAUGUCAACGUUCACAAGAACCAAAACCGGACCAAUAUUGGACUACUCAGUUGCGCCCUAACAGCAUAACUUGGCAACGAGUACUUUUUCUCAUUCAAUCGAAUAGAGAGUAAAACCUAAUUAUAUUAUUCUAUUAUGCCCCGAGAGUGUGAAUUUGCAACGUAUCGAUGUCAACGUUCACAAGAACCAAAACCGGACCAAUAUUGGACUACUCAGUUGCGCCCUAACAGCAUAACUUGGCAACGAGUACUUUUUCUCAUUCAAUCGAAUAGAGAGUAAAACCUAAUUAUAUUAUUCUAUUAUGCCCCGAGAGUGUGAAUUUGCAACGUAUCGAUGUCAACGUUCACAAGAACCAAAACCGGACCAAUAUUGGACUACUCAGUUGCGCCCUAACAGCAUAACUUGGCAACGAGUACUUUUUCUCAUUCAAUCGAAUAGAGAGUAAAACCUAAUUAUAUUAUUCUAUUAUGCCCCGAGAGUGUGAAUUUGCAACGUAUCGAUGUCAACGUUCACAAGAACCAAAACCGGACCAAUAUUGGACUACUCAGUUGCGCCCUAACAGCAUAACUUGGCAACGAGUACUUUUUCUCAUUCAAUCGAAUAGAGAGUAAAACCUAAUUAUAUUAUUCUAUUAUGCCCCGAGAGUGUGAAUUUGCAACGUAUCGAUGUCAACGUUCACAAGAACCAAAACCGGACCAAUAUUGGACUACUCAGUUGCGCCCUAACAGCAUAACUUGGCAACGAGUACUUUUUCUCAUUCAAUCGAAUAGAGAGUAAAACCUAAUUAUAUUAUUCUAUUAUGCCCCGAGAGUGUGAAUUUGCAACGUAUCGAUGUCAACGUUCACAAGAACCAAAACCGGACCAAUAUUGGACUACUCAGUUGCGCCCUAACAGCAUAACUUGGCAACGAGUACUUUUUCUCAUUCAAUCGAAUAGAGAGUAAAACCUAAUUAUAUUAUUCUAUUAUGCCCCGAGAGUGUGAAUUUGCAACGUAUCGAUGUCAACGUUCACAAGAACCAAAACCGGACCAAUAUUGGACUACUCAGUUGCGCCCUAACAGCAUAACUUGGCAACGAGUACUUUUUCUCAUUCAAUCGAAUAGAGAGUAAAACCUAAUUAUAUUAUUCUAUUAUGCCCCGAGAGUGUGAAUUUGCAACGUAUCGAUGUCAACGUUCACAAGAACCAAAACCGGACCAAUAUUGGACUACUCAGUUGCGCCCUAACAGUAUAACUUUACAAACAGUAAUUUUUUUCAUUCAAUGGAACAAAAAGUAAAACCUAAUUAUAUUGUUCUAUUAUGCUCCAAGAGUAUAAAUUUCCAACGUAUCGAUGUCAACGUUCAAAAGAACUAAAACCGGAACAACAUUAGACUACUCAGUUGUGCCAAAACAAUAUAACUUUACAAACAGUGCUUUUUCUCAUCCAAUCGAACAAAGAGUAAAACCUAAUUAUAUUGUUCUAUUAUGCUCCGAGAGUGUAAAUUUGCAACGUAUCGAUGUCAACGUUCAUAAGAACCAAAACCGAAAAAACAUUAGACUACUCAGUUGUUCCAAAAUAUUAUAACUUUGCAAUGAUUACUUUUUCUCAUUCAACCGAACAAAGAGUAAACCUAAUUAUACUGUUCUAUUAUGCCCCGAGAGUAUAAAUUUGCAACGUGUCGAUGUCAACGUUCACAAAAAUCAAAACCGUACCAAUAUUAGACUACUACGUUGAGCCCUAACAGUAUCACUUUGCAACGAGUACUUUUUCUCAUUCAACCGAAAUAAAGAGUAAAUCCGAAUUAUAUUGUCCUAUUAUGCCCCGAGAGUGUAAAUUUGCAACGUAUCGAUGUCAACGUUCACAAGAACUGUCACGCCCCGAGACCCGCUACCAAUUUGGUCCGGUUCGGGCGCGUCGAA